This 5662-nucleotide long non-coding RNA is filed under the name Brassica napus (rape). RNAcentral describes it as "long non-coding RNA (BNAP_LNC002984)". The record is from RNAcentral. Lineage: Eukaryota; Viridiplantae; Streptophyta; Magnoliopsida; Brassicales; Brassicaceae.
GUCUCCUUCCCCUUCCGCAAACGUCGCUUCUGGCGGCUCGCUCUCCUCGACGGCGACCGAUGAUGAGCUCCCGUCUGCUUCCCCACCGUCUUGCUGAGACCAAUCCGAAGUCUCGGCAACUGAGGUGACGAAAGGCGACUUCUUUAGGUGGGUUUUGGUUUUGAGAGAGAGGGAGAAGCGGGAGAAUGAGAGCGGGAGGUUAGUGCGUUUGGUGAGGAGGGAGCAGCGAGUUCUGGAGGAAGAGAUAGUGGAGAAUGAAGGGUGAGAGAAGAUGGUGGAAGAGGAGGAUUCUGACAUGGCUAAUGGCCUCAAGCUCGAGGUUACUAUUGAAGAAGCCAUUGGAGAAUUGUGAGAGAAGAGAAGGAAGUGUUGAAAAAAGAAGAGGAAGGGAGGGUUUUAGAACGGUGAGGGAGAUAUGGAUAAGGAGGCCCAAGACAGCAAGAGAAGAAAUAAAAAUGUUAGAUAAACUGAACCAAAAAACUAUGUUUGGUAAAUUGAACCAAAACAAAAAAAAAAUUAUUUAAUGCAAACAAUAAUAAAUAUUUUAAGUUUUAACCAUAGUUUUUGUUUUUAUUAUUUGUUUCUUAAUUUGAGUUCUGUGGUUAUAUUUAUCGAUGAAAGUUUAUAAUAUACUGGUUAAGUCAAUGGUUUGAAUUGUUGACAAAAAAAAUGUCAAUGGUUUGAAUUUGAUUUGCAAGCAUAUUGAGUUUUGUGAUUUGAUAUGGCAUUACACUCGCCACUAAUAGUUCUUCUGUAUAAAAUAUUGUUGUUGUUUUCCUCCUUCUAAAACUCGGUGAAUGCAAUGUUAAAACACACAUUCUAUCUUGAAUGGCAUGUACUCAUUGUUUCUCAUGGUUUCGGACUUUGAGUAAGGAUUGGACGUUGAUACUUGCAUUAGCCUUCUAAUUAUAUCACUCAGCUUAUCAUAGUUGAAUAUGGAAAUGGAAAGAGACAUUUGGUUACCACUUAGCACUAUCGGAGACGUCCAUAUGAUUUUGGUGUGAAGCAACAAUUAUAUCAUAAAGAACAAUAUACUAAUUACAUACAAAGUUCUAAAGACAUAUAUAUGUCAGCAGUCCUGGUUUUUGACAAGUUCUCAGAAGUAUGUAAUUUGAUCUUCAUUGAAGUUGUAAACACUUUCAAAGUCUUGAUCCAUCUCAGAUACCUAUUAGUUACAACUGAAUUAACCGGCCCACGGGGACAGCACAAGCUCAACAAGAUUACCAUCAAAGUUUUCAAUAGGAGACAUGUGUUUGUAACCAAUGUGGAAAAUUCUCUAACUAGUUUAAUGUUAUAUAUGACGAAGAAAACAGGGGGAAACUAUCUUUAUAACUUUGUAACUUUAUAUUCGCAUAAUUUAUUAAGUACUGACUUGCCAAUUCGAACCUGCUACACAAUACCCACUGCAUCACAUCGUUCGCUGCAACCAGCAACAACAGAAUCUUUUAUAUUUCUUCUUUUCUUUCCUGAGUUAAUAUGUUGCAGAGCAGCACAUGUGACAUGACAUGGCCAAGAGUAGGGCAACCACUUUGCUUGCUAUUUAUGACAACACUGAGAUUUGACGACCCUCCUUUCUUACAUGGGAUAUACUGUAUUUUGAUUUAGUGGGUUAGAAAUCAAAUAAAACCAUUAUCGUUUUUUUUUUCUUGUAUUCAUAAUCAUUCCCUGGUGCAACGCCAACCUAGGCCUUAUACUUUCAUUCCUUCCGAAUGUUACAUAGGUGUGCAGUAUAUAUAACGUUGCAGGGUCUUUUCCAAACUUGGUUUAGUACCUAUGAAAACUUUUACUAGUUGUGAUGUCUUCCAUUCGUUACACAAAUUCAUAGGUUCUGUACAUACACAUUCUUUCAUUUGAUCAAUAAUUUGACAUUUCAUCAAAAAGAAUGUUACAUAGUUUCAGUAAAAAAAAAAAAAUAUAUAUAUAUAUAUAUAUAUAUAUAACUAACGACUUCUGAUGCAAUUAGCGUUUGCAUUCAUUUUUUAUUUGGAAUGUGUAAAACCACUUAUAUAUUUUUAGUAUAUUUUAUUCUAAAAUAGAAGAAAAAAUCUAUUAUAGAUAUAGAAUAAUAUUUUGUUUACCUUUUUCAGCAUUUUGUUUGCCUUUAUAUUUAGAAGUAAAAACAGUAUUCAUCUAUAUUUUUCUGAAAAAAAUAGAGAAACUUUAUUAUAUAAACAUACAUUAUAUUAAAUUCAUUUCUAUAGUGGAAUUUCUUUAUUUUAUAAAGAAAUAUAGAGAAAGAAUAGAAAUGUUUUAAUAAUAAGUAUUAAUAGUAAAUCGUAUUUGUUAUUAUAAAAUGUUGGUGAUGGAUCAUUGGAUCAAAAAUAAAUUAAUAAGGAGGGCAAAGAGACAAGUGUGAAGAUUAAUGGAUAUGUCUGGUCGAGAAGCUAAGAGCCAAGGUUGGGGAUAAGAGAGAGUGAAAGAAAGUUCCAAGACAUAGAUCAGGCCGAGAAAUGAAUCAUCAAUGUCGCUCUAUUCUCAUACACUCUGUUUCCUCUGUCCUUUGUCUUGAGUCUAUUAUUUCUUAUGAUGUUAAGCCUGUUACACAUGCAUGAAUAUAAUGGACCAUUUCUUUUUUUGUAUCCCGACAAGUGUUGCAAUUCCAUAUUCUGAUAAAAGCGACUUCACGAGCACGAUCAAGACUUUUUGCUUAUUCUUUACUAUCUUUUUAUUUUAGUUAGUGUUUAUCUUCUCAAAUCAAAAUAUGCCAUCAUGAUGAGUCGAAUCAAACCACAUUUGUUUCAGAAUAUUUUUUACGGCAUUUGCUAGCAAGUAGAUAUGAACUUAUAUGCCUAAGUUUCUUAAUAUGUUAAUAUACAUAUAUAGACAAUCAAGAUCUUAUCCGUAGAUAAAUGAACUUUUUCAUAGAACUUGAAAACACCUUUUCUCUAUGUUCUCGUGAUGUCUUAAUGUUAUAACUUUUUGUUUAACGACUCUUAAUGUUAUAACUUAGUUUAGAUACAUCUCACUUUCUCAAUUUCUAAUUAAGACUUGGCUCAUUUUAAAGAUAGUCAUAGCUCUUAGGUUAGCGUAUUUUUGACAGAUCGGCCGCUAAAUACUACCCUUACAUAACCAUGCAAGGCCAUAUUUAUAAAACCUAGAAAAUGGUAUCUGAAAGAUUUAAGAUUAAGAGUAAUUCUCUCACAAGUCUCAGAAAACUAGCUUGUUUUGCGAGUUCUUUUGCUCUCUCUCUAUGUUGACUAACCUAAAUCUUCUUCAAAUUCCUCUUCUUUUAUACUUUUGAGUUCUUUUCAUACUCAAAUCAUUUUUUUCGUCCAGCUGCUUCUUCUUUUCUUUUUUUUGAACACACGUCCAGCUGCUUCAAACUCUUAAUAUUCUUGGGCUUAUAGUAUUGAGGCCCUCCAAUUAGAAGACACAAAUUUUAGGCUCAUCAUAUACUGGACUUGAACAUUUCAUCUUCUUUUAACCUUUGAUGAAUAUAUUGCUCAACAAUCCUUCACCACAAUGUGAUAACAAACAAGAUAUACCCCAUGAAGCAAAGCCGAUGAUUUGGAAUCGUGAUCGUCAAAUAUCUAGACGUAUAACAAGAUCAUCUUCACUAUGAUUACAGCUUCACUUUAGCGUGUGGUUAACAAGAACCCAAUCCUCACCUGUCACUUCCUUUCACCUCUUUGAAAAACGAUAGAACAAGAUCCAUCUUACAUCAUUUAAGAGAAGGGAGUGCUUUGCUAUAGAAGCUUUCCACUAUUUGGCGCGUUUGUGGUGAGAGGCUCCUUGUUGCUAAUAUUUAAAACACUGACAAGGAAUAAUGACAGAGAAAUGUGGAUAGACCGUCAAGGAGAAAUAAUGAUACAAAAUUACAUUAGAACUUAGAAGAAGCUUCGCAUUCGGAACUCUGUCCCCAAAAAAAAAUCACCAAAGAGUGUAAAAAUCUCGUCUAAACAAAAUGCAAAGAGACAGAGGGCAGAGAGAGAUCUUUCUCAGUCCUUAAAAUCCACGCCUUGGACGCUCCUCCGCUACAUUCACUCUGAUCGCUCUACCCUCCAUGUUCUGCAAACAACAACAAGCCACAAAGGAAUUGAACAUCACAAAAUCAUGUAAGAACUGCAUUAGCAUAAUAUAGAAGAGGAACAUGAGGGGGGUACCUGUCCAUCAAGAGCAGCGAUGGCAUCAUUGAGUUCAGUCUCAUUAGACAUUGUCACAAAACCAAACCCACGUGAACGACCUGUCUCACGGUCAUAAACCACUCUAGCUUCCACAACUUUGCCAUGCUCACUGAACACUUGUUCUAGACGACCAUUGUCCACAUCCCACGGUAGGUUUCCAACGUAGACUCUGAAUGCAGGUUCAUAUACCCGAGGUUGACGUUCUGGACGUGAUCCUCUGGGUGCUGCCUUGUUCACCGUCAAAAGCCGUCCGUUUAGAUCCUAACCAAAAAAAAAAAAAUGAAAAGAUCAACUCAGAUGCUCAAUAAUGUUCUCACAAACAUAAUCAGAAGUUGCAGACAAAAAAAUCUCCAACUCAACUCAGCUGCCAAAAUGUCUCAGACACAACAUUUCAAUGCAAAUACAACAAAUGAGUAUGAGAUAAUGCAUCAAUCAAUAAAAUGCUUUCUUAGAGCAGAAAGAAUAAAACUUUGGUUGGAUUAAGAGCAGACAAUGCCACUUAUGACCCAAAACAAAAGGAUCAGUAUCACUCCAACUCCACCAAUACAUGCUAAUAGUUGAGAUAUGAUUGAUACACAUAUGAGAACUUACAUAACGGUUGAACUUCUCAACAGCAGUCUCAGCUUCUUCCACUGUACUCAUUGUCACAAAUCCAAACCCACGACUCUGGUCGGUUUCCCUAUUGUAUAUAACCUUCAACCAGUGAAGAACCCAAAGGAACAAGUUAGUAUUAGCAAACGCUAUCUCUUGAACUAUAAACAAAUGUGAGAACUCAACUAACAACAACAUCAACAGUACCAAUAUACUCAAAACCAAUAGAGUGUGAAAGUUCCAUCUAAUUCAUUUCAAAGAUGCUUCAAACAGUUAAAAGCCAAGAACUUUGACUUCAUCUCGUUCAUUUGACACAUAAAGGAUGCAAAUUGCAAUGCACAGAACAUACAAGAACGAAACCAAACUCACCUCGGCGAUUUCAACUGUACCGGCUUGCUCAAAGAGCAUAGCCAAGGCCUGGCUGUCAACGUCGUAAGCCAAGUUUCCGACGAAGAGCUUCGCUUCUUCCGGCGGCUCCGUAAAGUCGCCGCCUUCGCUCACGUCUCCUUCCCCUUCCGCAAACGUCGCUUCUGGCGGCUCGCUCUCCUCGACGGCGACCGAUGAUGAGCUCCCGUCUGCUUCCCCACCGUCUUGCUGAGACCAAUCCGAAGUCUCGGCAACUGAGGUGACGAAAGGCGACUUCUUUAGGUGGGUUUUGGUUUUGAGAGAGAGGGAGAAGCGGGAGAAUGAGAGCGGGAGGUUAGUGCGUUUGGUGAGGAGGGAGCAGCGAGUUCUGGAGGAAGAGAUAGUGGAGAAUGAAGGGUGAGAGAAGAUGGUGGAAGAGGAGGAUUCUGACAUGGCUAAUGGCCUCAAGCUCGAGGUUACUAUUGAAGAAGCCAUUGGAGAAUUGUGAGAGAAGAGAAGGAAGUGUUGAAAAAAGAAGAGGAAGGGAGGGUUUUAGAACGGUGAGGGAGAUAUGGAUAAGGAGGCCCAAGACAGCAAGAGAA